This 581-nucleotide ribosomal RNA is filed under the name uncultured Bacteroidales bacterium. RNAcentral's name for it is "bacterial SSU rRNA". It matches the Rfam family "Bacterial small subunit ribosomal RNA", at positions 79 to 659 of the family's 1533-position model. The record is from RNAcentral. Lineage: Bacteria; Pseudomonadati; Bacteroidota; Bacteroidia; Bacteroidales.
CUUUCUUUGCUGGCGACCGGCGCACGGGUGAGUAACACGUAUCCAACCUGCCCUUUACUCGGGGAUAGCCUUUCGAAAGAAAGAUUAAUACCCGAUAGCAUAAUGAUUCCGCAUGGUUUCAUUAUUAAAGGAUUCCGGUAAAGGAUGGGGAUGCGUUCCAUUAGGUUGUUGGUGGGGUAACGGCCCACCAAGCCUUCGAUGGAUAGGGGUUCUGAGAGGAAGGUCCCCCACAUUGGAACUGAGACACGGUCCAAACUCCUACGGGAGGCAGCAGUGAGGAAUAUUGGUCAAUGGGCGCUAGCCUGAACCAGCCAAGUAGCGUGAAGGAUGAAGGCUCUAUGGGUCGUAAACUUCUUUUAUAUAAGAAUAAAGUGCAGUAUGUAUACUGUUUUGUAUGUAUUAUAUGAAUAAGGAUCGGCUAACUCCGUGCCAGCAGCCGCGGUAAUACGGAGGAUCCGAGCGUUAUCCGGAUUUAUUGGGUUUAAAGGGAGCGUAGGUGGACUGGUAAGUCAGUUGUGAAAGUUUGCGGCUCAACCGUAAAAUUGCAGUUGAUACUGUCAGUCUUGAGUACAGUAGAGGUG